GGUUUUGGUUAAGAGAAAAAGUUGUUAGAACACAAAGAACAUGCUCACAAGUAUGACAUGGACUGGUUCCAUGUCUUAAUGUUAUUUAUUUGGUGAAUGGAUGUUUUGUGUUCAAGAUGAAGAUGGUUAUCAAGGAGCAAAGCAUAUUGUUUUGAAGUAACAAUGAAGGAAUCCUUUUUCACAACAUUAUGCAGAUACAUAUUAGAAUGCCUAUUGUUACUUCAAAACAAUGGACAAUUCUAACAUGUGUAACACAUUCUAACAUGUUUACAGACCUAUUUUUUAAGGGUGCACCCACGUAACCAAUUCGGUAACCAAUGAAACCAUCAUGUAUUACUUGUGUUAAACACUGUUGUUAUGCGGUUACUUGGUUCAUAUUAUUUGACAAUGAUUCCCAUGUGUUGCAUAUACUUUUGUAACUUGUGUUACAAAUCACAUGUACUAGCAUGUUUGGAUGUAUACACGUUACAUAUACCAAGUGUUUUU
Long non-coding RNA from Helianthus annuus (common sunflower), 486 nucleotides. RefSeq lists it as uncharacterized. The record is from RefSeq and is a predicted model, not a curated record. Lineage: Eukaryota; Viridiplantae; Streptophyta; Magnoliopsida; Asterales; Asteraceae. The transcript has 2 exons.